CGGUGGUCACGUUGCUAGGGUAUUAUCCGCGUUGCUAGGCCAGAGUGCUCCGCCCCCAAGCCGGCCCGCGCGAGCCGUGGCGGUGUGAAAAAACGACACAAAUUUCAUCCAACAUAACGCACGAUAUGAUUAUCACAUCAGGAAAAAAAUAUAUGCACACGAAAAUUACAUUAGUUCGCCUUAAAAAUAUCUCAAUUAUUUGGGAUGACCAUGUGCAAAACGCUUCAAAUCGCCCGCUGUUCCAUGUGCGUUUUGGAGGUCGUUUUGGGUCACUGAACUUUGAACUUUGAAUUUAAUGCUCUAUUUUACGCACCAGGCAAAGCUUUGACCUAUGCUUUAGACUUUAGGACCUCUAAGAAUAUUUCACCUUAUGCAGUUUUAAGUGUCUACGACAUUUUAGCUAAUUUUGUCACAUUUUCACUACGUUUUGUCCCAUAGUUCCACAGCGAUGGAAGAGAAUCGAUUGAUUUUUCUCCAAGAUGGCGGCGAUAGUUUUUUCUUCACGAUGGAGUUUUUUUGGUCAGCUUAAGUGUUAACUACCGGGAGAUAUGGCUCAAAAUACGAAUUGUACGUUUGGUUCAGAUUUUCACGUGGAAGAAUAGCUAUGCUCUUGACUUAUAAUUAGGUUGUCGGCGAACAUCAGAGCGGUUUGUUCUUGCCUCCUUACUUUCUUACAACAACAACUUACCUGGGACGGCAGUGAUAUGGAAAUGAGCUGGCGUGGCCCCAUUGUUGUCGUCCCGGGCGCGAAAUUUGAGAGAGAAUUGGCUGUAGCAAAUUAUUUGUACAGUUUGUUGUGUCUGCAAGAAGCUACCAUUAAUUCUACAAGAUCUUUAGUGCACUUUCGCAGCUGCACUUUCUCCCAUAGUUAAGAUUAUUUCAGAAAUUUUGAACGUCAGGUCCCAAAUAGUAAAAUGGCGUCUUUUCGACUUUUGUAAACAAAAGAGAAAACCGGUUUCAUCCGGUUCCGCUGUCAGCCGAUAGCACAUCAAACGCUUGGGUGUGUAAUGUUACAAAGCUUAGUGAAUUGCGAACUGCAGAUUCUGUUACAAAAUUCACGGGAAUAUAAAAUUGUUUCUACAAAUAGCGGAGAACGAAGUUUUUUCUUCAUUUUUUUAGUUAUUUUUUAGGACAGGACUAGACACGCCGGUUCGUGAAUCUUGAUUUGAAGACGCACUUUGUCGUGAGGUCGGUGUGCAUAGCAUUCUCCGUGUGCGGUAAGCUUCCGUGCAAAUGUUCAAAAUAUGAAUUUCACUUCACCAAGAAACUAAACUGGUGUUGUGUCGUUCAAUUGUGUGUCUGUAUGUCUAUGUGUGCGUGUGGAGUGAGAGAGAGAGGGGGAGAAUAUUAGACUUCCGUAGGAAAGGCCGGCCGGUUGUGUUUAUAUUACGGGCGGGCGGUCUUUACGCCGCCCCCGCUGAAUCUUGCAGCUGCGCCCGGCAGUCACGGUCACGGUAAGUUGGGUGAAUUUUCAUGGUGUUGCGGUUGCUAUGCUUUCGUCUGUGUUACCAUGCGUUUUAUUACUACUUCAAAUCCAUUCUAUAGUAUAAGAUAUAAUUUAAACAAAGAAAAUUGCGGGGCAAAGGACGCCAGUUUGAAGUUUACCAUGUGAUGUAAUGCCCAGCGUAUUACCGAUAUCGAUACAUUCGCCACGUCAAGCGCUGGUAUGGACCUAGUUCAUUUACAGAAUGACGAGAAUAUAAGGAGUUUGUUAUUUGAGAGAACACGUUUAUCAAAAAAACGUAGGUUGCAAUUAUUGUCUUAUAUUUAAAUUGAGUCGUUGUGUAUACAGGACAGGAACAGACACGCCGGGAUCCGGACUUUGGUCAAAGACGCAAUAUAUCAAGGGGUUCGUUACGUUUGGGUCUAAGUAUACUAGUAUGGUGAGCUUUCAUGUUCUAGAUAUAUAGAUACUCAUCUUCGCCGAAAAACUACUGAAUUUCUAUCACUCAACUUUUUGUAUGUGUGUGUGUGUGUGUGUGU
This is a long non-coding RNA of Branchiostoma floridae (Florida lancelet), 1983 nucleotides long. RefSeq lists it as uncharacterized. The record is from RefSeq and is a predicted model, not a curated record. NCBI's taxonomy places the organism in Eukaryota, Metazoa, Chordata, Leptocardii, Amphioxiformes, Branchiostomatidae. The transcript is spliced from 2 exons.